GAGUGUGUAGCUCGGUGGUAGGGCACUUGCCUAGGAUGUGCGAGUCCCUGGGUUCAAUCCCCAGCACAAUAA
RNAcentral lists this transfer RNA (72 nucleotides) under Heterocephalus glaber (naked mole-rat). It matches the Rfam family "tRNA". Rfam says of the family: Transfer RNA (tRNA) molecules are approximately 80 nucleotides in length. Lineage: Eukaryota; Metazoa; Chordata; Mammalia; Rodentia; Bathyergidae. The record is from Rfam by way of RNAcentral.